This 655-nucleotide ribosomal RNA is filed under the name Bacillus sp. ZK-29. RNAcentral's name for it is "bacterial SSU rRNA". It matches the Rfam family "Bacterial small subunit ribosomal RNA", at positions 56 to 695 of the family's 1533-position model. Lineage: Bacteria; Bacillati; Bacillota; Bacilli; Caryophanales; Bacillaceae. The record is from RNAcentral.
UGCAGUCGAGCGNNCAGAAGGGAGCUUGCUCCCGGAUGUUAGCGGCGGACGGGUGAGUAACACGUGGGUAACCUGCCUGUAAGACUGGGAUAACUCCGGGAAACCGGAGCUAAUACCGGAUAGUUCCUUGAACCGCAUGGUUCAAGGAUGAAAGACGGUUUCGGCUGUCACUUACAGAUGGACCCGCGGCGCAUUAGCUAGUUGGUGGGGUAAUGGCUCACCAAGGCGACGAUGCGUAGCCGACCUGAGAGGGUGAUCGGCCACACUGGGACUGAGACACGGCCCAGACUCCUACGGGAGGCAGCAGUAGGGAAUCUUCCGCAAUGGACGAAAGUCUGACGGAGCAACGCCGCGUGAGUGAUGAAGGUUUUCGGAUCGUAAAGCUCUGUUGUUAGGGAAGAACAAGUGCGAGAGUAACUGCUCGCACCUUGACGGUACCUAACCAGAAAGCCACGGCUAACUACGUGCCAGCAGCCGCGGUAAUACGUAGGUGGCAAGCGUUGUCCGGAAUUAUUGGGCGUAAAGGGCUCGCAGGCGGUUUCUUAAGUCUGAUGUGAAAGCCCCCGGCUCAACCGGGGAGGGUCAUUGGAAACUGGGAAACUUGAGUGCAGAAGAGGAGAGUGGAAUUCCACGUGUAGCGGUGAAAUGCGUAGAA